GGGCGGUUAGCUCAGCGGUAAGAGCAUCCGGUUUACACCCGGAAGGUCCAGCGUUCAAAUCGCUGACCGCCCACCA
Molecule: transfer RNA, 76 nt
Filed under: Acidobacteriota bacterium
Lineage: Bacteria; Pseudomonadati; Acidobacteriota
Also listed under: 1 other name
Description: Acidobacteria bacterium tRNA-Val
Rfam family: tRNA
About the family: Transfer RNA (tRNA) molecules are approximately 80 nucleotides in length.
Source: RNAcentral